GCGGACGUGGCGAAACUGGUAGACGCAAGAGACUUAAAAUCUCUCAGCUGCAAGGCUAUGCGGGUUCGAUCCCCGCCGUCCGCACCA
Molecule: transfer RNA, 87 nt
Filed under: Hyphomicrobiales bacterium
Lineage: Bacteria; Pseudomonadati; Pseudomonadota; Alphaproteobacteria; Hyphomicrobiales
Description: Rhizobiales bacterium tRNA-Leu
Rfam family: tRNA
About the family: Transfer RNA (tRNA) molecules are approximately 80 nucleotides in length. Their secondary structure includes four short double-helical elements and three loops (D, anti-codon, and T loops).
Source: RNAcentral